RNAcentral lists this ribosomal RNA (641 nucleotides) under uncultured Bacilli bacterium. RNAcentral describes it as "bacterial SSU rRNA". It matches the Rfam family "Bacterial small subunit ribosomal RNA", at positions 85 to 712 of the family's 1533-position model. Lineage: Bacteria; Bacillati; Bacillota; Bacilli. The record is from RNAcentral.
AAAAAGAGGAGUGGCGAACGGGUGAGUAACACGUGGGUAACCUGCCCAUCAGAAGGGGAUAACACUUGGAAACAGGUGCUAAUACCGUAUAACAAUCGAAACCGCAUGGUUUUGAUUUGAAAGGCGCUUUCGGGUGUCGCUGAUGGAUGGACCCGCGGUGCAUUAGCUAGUUGGUGAGGUAACGGCUCACCAAGGCCACGAUGCAUAGCCGACCUGAGAGGGUGAUCGGCCACAUUGGGACUGAGACACGGCCCAAACUCCUACGGGAGGCAGCAGUAGGGAAUCUUCGGCAAUGGACGAAAGUCUGACCGAGCAACGCCGCGUGAGUGAAGAAGGUUUUCGGAUCGUAAAACUCUGUUGUUAGAGAAGAACAAGGAUGAGAGUAACUGUUCAUCCCUUGACGGUAUCUAACCAGAAAGCCACGGCUAACUACGUGCCAGCAGCCGCGGUAAUACGUAGGUGGCAAGCGUUGUCCGGAUUUAUUGGGCGUAAAGCGAGCGCAAGCGGUUUCUUAAGUCUGAUGUGAAAGCCCCCGGCUCAACCGGGGAGGGUCAUUGGAAACUGGGAGACUUGAGUGCAGAAGAGGAGAGUGGAAUUCCAUGUGUAGCGGUGAAAUGCGUAGAUAUAUGGAGGAACACCAG